UUGUUUAUUUAAAAUAUAAACUCAGACAAAAUUGAUAAAAUAUAGAGUUAAUGGUUCCUUUGGUGAAGACACAUCCAUCUCUUGCAAGAUCAAUGGGCCUAACCGAAGCUAAACACGCUUCACCAAAGUAAUAUAAAAAGUAACACAAAGGGUGGGAGAUUCUACAACAAGUAUAGAAAAAUCUCGGUAAUGAUCCUUCCGCAGGUUCACCUACGGAAA
RNAcentral lists this unclassified non-coding RNA (219 nucleotides) under uncultured fungus. RNAcentral describes it as "sequence contains ITS1". Lineage: Eukaryota; Fungi. The record is from RNAcentral.